GACAAACGCUGGCGGCGUGCAUAAAACAUGCAAGUCGAACGGGCCAAUCCCCGCAAGGGGAAAGGCUAGUGGCGAACGGCUGAGUAACACGUAGGUGACCUGCCCCGAAGUGGGGGAUAACAACUCGAAAGAGUUGCUAAUACCGCAUGUGACCACCGAUUCAUUUCGGUGCUCAAAGUCGCAAGACGCUUUGGGAGGGGCCUGCGGCGGAUUAGCUAGUUGGUGGGGUAACGGCCUACCAAGGCAUCGAUCCGUAGCUGGUCUGAGAGGAUGACCAGCCA
RNAcentral lists this ribosomal RNA (281 nucleotides) under uncultured bacterium. RNAcentral's name for it is "partial 16S ribosomal RNA". It matches the Rfam family "Bacterial small subunit ribosomal RNA", at positions 28 to 310 of the family's 1533-position model. The record is from RNAcentral.